RNAcentral lists this ribosomal RNA (468 nucleotides) under uncultured bacterium. Its description in RNAcentral is "partial 16S ribosomal RNA". It matches the Rfam family "Bacterial small subunit ribosomal RNA", at positions 28 to 507 of the family's 1533-position model. The record is from RNAcentral.
GACGAACGCUGGCGGCGUGCUUAACACAUGCAAGUCGAACGGAAAGUCCCUGCCUGUGUCUUGUGCUCGAGUAGCAAACGGGUGGGUAACACGUUAGUAACCUGCCCUUUACUUUGCGAUAACUUCAGGAAACUGGGGCUAAUACCGGAUAUAAUCUCCUGCUGCAUGGUUUGGGGUGGAGAGGUUCGGCGGUUGGGGCUUGACUCGCGGCGUAGCAGGUUGUUGGGGGGGUAGUGGCUUACCAAGGCUUUGACGGGUAGCCGGCCUGAGAGGGUGACCGGCCACAUUGGGACUGAGAUGCGGCCCAGACUCAUACGGGAGGCAGCAGUGGGAAAUAUUGCGAAAUGGGCGGAAGCAUGAUGCAGCAACGCCGCGUGCGGGAUGACGGCCGUCGGAUUGUAAACCGCUUUCGCCUGUGACGAAGAGUGAGUGACGGUAAUGAGUAAAGAAGCAACGGCUAACUACGUG